ACACAUGCAAGUCGAACGAGAGAGAGGAAGCUUGCUUCCUCAAUCGAGUGGCGAACGGGUGAGUAACGCGUGAGGAACCUGCCUCAAAGAGGGGGACAACAGUUGGAAACGACUGCUAAUACCGCAUAAGCCCACAGGUCGGCAUCGACCAGAGGGAAAAGGAGCAAUCCGCUUUGAGAUGGCCUCGCGUCCGAUUAGCUAGUUGGUGAGGUAAUGGCCCACCAAGGCAACGAUCGGUAGCCGGACUGAGAGGUUGAACGGCCACAUUGGGACUGAGACACGGCCCAGACUCCUACGGGAGGCAGCAGUGGGGAAUAUUGCACAAUGGGGGAAACCCUGAUGCAGCAACGCCGCGUGGAGGAAGAAGGUCUUCGGAUUGUAAACUCCUGUUGUUGAGGAAGAUAAUGACGGUACUCAACAAGGAAGUGACGGCUAACUACGUGCCAGCAGCCGCGGUAAAACGUAGGUCACAAGCGUUGUCCGGAAUUACUGGGUGUAAAGGGAGCGCAGGCGGGAAGACAAGUUGGAAGUGAAAUCUAUGGGCUCAACCCAUAAACUGCUUUCAAAACUGUUUUUCUUGAGUAGUGCAGAGGUAGGCGGAAUUCCCGGUGUAGCGGUGGAAUGCGUAGAUAUCGGGAGGAACACCAGUGGCGAAGGCGGCCUACUGGGCACCAACUGACGCUGAGGCUCGAAAGUGUGGGUAGCAAACAGGAUUAGAUACCCUGGUAGUCCACACCGUAAACGAUGAUUACUAGGUGUUGGAGGAUUGACCCCUUCAGUGCCGCAGUUAACACAAUAAGUAAUCCACCUGGGG
This 814-nucleotide ribosomal RNA is filed under the name uncultured bacterium. Its description in RNAcentral is "bacterial SSU rRNA". It matches the Rfam family "Bacterial small subunit ribosomal RNA", at positions 51 to 878 of the family's 1533-position model. The record is from RNAcentral.